CGGGGUAUAGCGCAGUUCGGUAGCGCGCCUGCUUUGGGAGCAGGAUGUCAGGAGUUCGAAUCCCCUUACCCCGACCA
This 77-nucleotide transfer RNA is filed under the name Pseudomonas chlororaphis. Its description in RNAcentral is "tRNA-Pro". It matches the Rfam family "tRNA". From Rfam's summary of the family: Transfer RNA (tRNA) molecules are approximately 80 nucleotides in length. Lineage: Bacteria; Pseudomonadati; Pseudomonadota; Gammaproteobacteria; Pseudomonadales; Pseudomonadaceae. The record is from RNAcentral.